ACCAUCCUUUUCUUGGGGUUGCACUACUGUCCAAUGAACAUUUAGUGAGGGCAGUACUGCUCAUGCCUUUACAAAAUAUUCCAGUUUAAACACGCAGAACUUUUUGUGAGU
Heterocephalus glaber (naked mole-rat) is the source of this 111-nucleotide small nuclear RNA. The record is from Ensembl. NCBI's taxonomy places the organism in Eukaryota, Metazoa, Chordata, Mammalia, Rodentia, Bathyergidae.